Molecule: long non-coding RNA, 1209 nt
Organism: Zeugodacus cucurbitae (melon fly)
Lineage: Eukaryota; Metazoa; Arthropoda; Insecta; Diptera; Tephritidae
Exons: 3
Source: RefSeq, a predicted model, not a curated record
UAACAAAUAUUUGAUAUUCUACUAUUUUUCAAUCAAUAACCCGCAGGCAAACGUGCAUAGAAAAAUACUUAAUGCAUUUAUAGCUGCGUCAUGCAAAUAAACGUGAUGUCCAAAGCAAACAAUCAUUUGACUAUGUAAAUUUCUAUCAAAUAUAGACAGUACAAUAUAGAAACCCUGUAGGAAAAGAGUUGAAAUGUAUGCAUUGUCAUUGUAAGAGUGGUGAAAACGAAAACAGUUAGUGGUGAAAAUACCAGAUACCAUAUAAAGCACUGGGAAAUGUAUGUUGAAGAAAGACAACCACAUUCAGCUAACCAAAACAUCCAAAGAUGAAAGAGGAGCAGUGUUCCUUUUGGAAACAACACCACACCGUUGCGCUUCGUGAUUCUUAAUAUCAACUAUUGCUAAUAUUAGCAGCACUCCGGGCCGAAAGAAUUGACAUAGAAGUUUGACGAGUAGUGUUGAAAUCCGGAUGUCUGUUUAUCCGUUCGUCUGAUCACUCAAGGGAUGAGUAUUUUUGGAAGAUUUAUUUUUUAAUAUUUUUUUUUAAUACAUCAACCACAUUUUGAAGUCCAUCUGAAUCGUUUACUUUACAAUAUAUAAAUUAUGCACUACUUCUCAAGGCUUCAAAUAUCGAUCAUAUGUACCUCAGUGCUUGUGAUCAAUUAUUCCAAAAAUAUUGGUAAGUCUCUCGAAUAGUCUAAUGAAAUUCAGAGGAUAUGGUUUUCUUAUAAUAUAUCAUAUGGUUGGAAUUCAAUGAAGCGUAAUCACAAAGUUCAAAAAAUUUAUUUAAAAAAUAAUUUUGUGUUAAUAUUUCAAAAUUAGUGAGAAUAGUUUUAAGCCAUUUUCUACAGUCUAGUACAUACUCGUAUAUUUUUAUAUGACGAAUGGGAAUUAUUUUAUUUUUAUAUUUUUGUAUCUGAAUUUUUGCUGUUAUUUGUGUAUUGCUAAUUGUAAAUUGCGUUGAAAUUUAAACCUUUAUUUUUUAUUGUCAUAACUGGAGUUUUUUGCCAUUUCAGCUUCAAUUCGAUUUUUUCGCUUUAAUUAACUUUAAAUUAUAACCUAUGAAAUGCUGUUGGCUAUUUUCAAAUUUCUGAUAUUUAAAAUUACUUUAAUACUUGCUUUUAUUUUUGUUUUUAUUUAAUUCAUUCAAUAAUAUUGUGGCGCCAUAAAAGAUUUUUGCUAAUGCUGCAAAUAGCAGCGCUGCAGCAC